GACGAACGCUGGCGGCGUGCUUAACACAUGCAAGUCGAACGGAAAGGCCCUGCUUUUGUGGGGUGCUCGAGUGGCGAACGGGUGAGUAACACGUGAGUAACCUGCCCUUGACUUUGGGAUAACUUCAGGAAACUGGGGCUAAUACCGGAUAGGAGCUCCUGCUGCAUGGUGGGGGUUGGAAAGUUUCGGCGGUUGGGGAUGGACUCGCGGCUUAUCAGCUUGUUGGUGGGGUAGUGGCUUACCAAGGCUUUGACGGGUAGCCGGCCUGAGAGGGUGACCGGCCACAUUGGGACUGAAAUACGGCCCAGACUCCUACGGGAGGCAGCAGUGGGGAAUAUUGCACAAUGGGCGGAAGCCUGAUGCAGCAACGCCGCGUGCGGGAUGACGGCCUUCGGGUUGUAAGCCGCUUUCGCCUGUGACGAAGCGUGAGUGACGGUAAUGGGUAAAGAAGCACCGGCUAACUACGUG
RNAcentral lists this ribosomal RNA (468 nucleotides) under uncultured bacterium. RNAcentral describes it as "partial 16S ribosomal RNA". It matches the Rfam family "Bacterial small subunit ribosomal RNA", at positions 28 to 507 of the family's 1533-position model. The record is from RNAcentral.